AUACCUAUUAAGCCAACCCUAGUUAUACUUCUAGUUUUUCUUUGGGACCGAAAAAAGAAGCUGCAGCAUACAGACGACCCUGCCUGACCGAUCGUCUUCUUCGUGAAGACUUGGAGAACCGUCAGUAAUUUUUCAACCAAAAAGACCUAAGCAGCAACCUCCAUCCUCCAAAACACCAACGAAUCCCGCCCCCACCCGUUAUCUUCUCCUUCAACGACAAUCCAGCCCUAUUUCUCAAGUUGCUUGGACACAAGGAAAUCCUAGAAACUCAAUCGAAUGGACCAUUGGUGAAGUUGAAGCCCCUUCUUCGCUCGCUAGAUUUGGUCGCCGGCAGUGGUUUGGUGACAACGAUCUCUGAGGGGCCAUGAAAACCGGUCAGAAGCUCAGGUAAGAGCUCAAAAAUCCAGCUCUUCUGCCCAACUCCUCACCUCCCAAAAUAGUCUCUUAAAAUAGCUAAAGUGUCUUAAUCAAGUCGAGUUUCUCGUGGGUUAAAAGUCGAGUUGAUUCAGGUCAGUCGCUGGUUCGAGUUUGUGUUCGGCGAGGUCGUCGAUUUGUCGACGUUGACGUUCGUAACUCCAGUGCUGGUUCUGCUUGCUUUUGGCCAGUUUUCCUUGCCUCUGAUUAUUCCAUUCAGAAGUAUUAUUCAUGAGUUUAAUGUACCGUGUGAUCAUUUUUCUUGUUUUGAUUAGUUAGUUUAUUUGCGUCAAUUUAAUGGUGAUCUUGAACUUCCAUAGAUGUGUUUUGAGCUUCUGUCAUUUUUUGCGCUAGAAUGCAUUCCUUGGUGAUACUUUUCAUUGUAUAAUUGACGUUGUUAUCUUGAAUAAGUUUAUUAGGAAACUUUUUGAAUAGUUGCUGCUCCAUUUGAUUAGCAUUAGGAAUUAUUGAGAUGGUAUGUUCAAUUAAGCUUAAAAUAUGACCUGGGCCCAAGCUGUUUAACGUGUUCAUGUGGAUUAAGGCAAAAAGAUUAAUGGAUCAUUGUUUAUAGUCUGAUUUGGAUGUCUUCAAAACCUAUUCUAAUUAAAUAAAGUUUCCUAGUA
Molecule: long non-coding RNA, 1037 nt
Filed under: Nicotiana benthamiana
Lineage: Eukaryota; Viridiplantae; Streptophyta; Magnoliopsida; Solanales; Solanaceae
Description: long non-coding RNA (NBEN_LNC012226)
Source: RNAcentral